ACAUACGCGUAGAGUUUGAUCAUGGCUCAGGAUGAACGCUGGCGGCGUGCUUAACACAUGCAAGUCGAACGAUGACCCCCAGCUUGCUGGGGUGAUUAGUGGCGAACGGGUGAGUAACACGUGAGUAACCUGCCCUUAACUCUGGGAUAAGCCUGGGAAACCGGGUCUAAUACCGGAUAUUUACCCCCGACCGCAUGGUGUGGGGGUGGAAAGCCUUGUGCGGUUUUGGAUGGACUCGCGGCCUAUCAGCUUGUUGGUGAGGUAAUGGCUCACCAAGGCGACGACGGGUAGCCGGCCUGAGAGGGUGACCGGCCACACUGGGACUGAGACACGGCCCAGACUCCUACGGGAGGCAGCAGUGGGGAAUAUUGCACAAUGGGCGAAAGCCUGAUGCAGCGACGCCGCGUGAGGGAUGACGGCCUUCGGGUUGUAAACCUCUUUCAGUAGGGAAGAAGCGAAAGUGACGGUACCUGCAGAAGAAGCGCCGGCUAACUACGUGCCAGCAGCGCGGUAAU
This 515-nucleotide ribosomal RNA is filed under the name uncultured Micrococcaceae bacterium. RNAcentral's name for it is "bacterial SSU rRNA". It matches the Rfam family "Bacterial small subunit ribosomal RNA", at positions 1 to 524 of the family's 1533-position model. The record is from RNAcentral. Lineage: Bacteria; Bacillati; Actinomycetota; Actinomycetes; Micrococcales; Micrococcaceae.